RNAcentral lists this ribosomal RNA (916 nucleotides) under uncultured archaeon. RNAcentral describes it as "bacterial SSU rRNA". It matches the Rfam family "Archaeal small subunit ribosomal RNA", at positions 1 to 923 of the family's 1478-position model. The record is from RNAcentral.
UUUCCGGUUGAUCCUGCCAGACCUGACUGCUAUCGGAUUGAUACUAAGCCAUGCGAGUCAUUGUAGCAAUACAAGGCAUACGGCUCAGUAACGCGUAGUCAACCUAACCUAUGGACGGGAAUAACCUCGGGAAACUGAGAAUAAUGCCCGAUAGAACACUAUACCUGGAAUGGUUUGUGUUCCAAAUGAUUUAUCGCCAUAGGAUGGGACUGCGGCCUAUCAGUUUGUUGGUGAGGUAAUGGCCCACCAAGACUAUUACAGGUACGGGCUCUGAGAGGAGUAGCCCGGAGAUGGGUACUGAGACACGGACCCAGGCCCUAUGGGGCGCAGCAGGCGAGAAAACUUUGCAAUGUGCGAAAGCACGACAAGGUUAAUCCGAGUGAUUUGUGCUAAACGAAUCUUUUGUUAGUCCUAGAAACACUAACGAAUAAGGGGUGGGCAAGUUCUGGUGUCAGCCGCCGCGGUAAAACCAGCACCUCAAGUGGUCAGGAUGAUUAUUGGGCCUAAAGCAUCCGUAGCCGGCUCUGUAAGUUUUCGGUUAAAUCUGUGCGCUUAACGUACAGGCUGCCGGGAAUACUGCAAAGCUAGGGAGUGGGAGAGGUAGACGGUACUCGGUAGGAAGUGGUAAAAUGCUUUGAUCUAUCGAUGACCACCUGUGGCGAAGGCGGUCUACCAGAACACGUCCGACGGUGAGGGAUGAAAGCUGGGGGAGCAAACCGGAUUAGAUACCCGGGUAGUCCCAGCUGUAAACUAUGCAAACUCAGUGAUGCAUUGGCUUGUGGCCAAUGCAGUGCUGCAGGGAAGCCGUUAAGUUUGCCGCCUGGGAAGUACGUACGCAAGUAUGAAACUUAAAGGAAUUGGCGGGGGAGCACCACAAGGGGUGAAGCCUGCGGUUCAAUUGGAUUCAACGCCGGAA